Pelobates cultripes (western spadefoot toad) is the source of this 1149-nucleotide non-coding RNA. NCBI's taxonomy places the organism in Eukaryota, Metazoa, Chordata, Amphibia, Anura, Pelobatidae. The record is from the annotation of a GenBank genome assembly.
CCUUACAAGAUUAAUUUACUUUUUUUCUGAUUAGAACAGACAUUAUGGUUCAUGUAACAAAAGCUUUGUUGCGCUUGGCAGCUUUAUUGUUUAAUCAGUACAUUCCCUUCACUCAGGCUUGGUGGCCAACAAACAUACAUUGCUCAACCACACUUCAAUGUCGGUCUCAGUGGAGGAUACACCCAGGAUUUCAAGGAACCUGAAAAAAAUAAUAAAAGGUUUGGAAAAAGUCAACAGAAUGUCAUAAACUCAAGAUUAGCACCUUCAAGCCACCAGGAUGGCUAACCUAGUAUUACUCAGGAGCUGUAUCAUUUCAUAUUAAGAGAUAUCAAAUGGCCAUCAACGUGACUGUAGUAAUGAUGAUUAAGAAAAAGAAUCUAAAAGGCUAAGAGGAGCCAAAGUCAAACAAAAACUAUGGUCCAACAAAAACCAUGAUGAAGCUGUAGAUGCUACGUUGUUAGGGUACCCGUUUAGUACGUUUAAGCACUAAAACCUACCUUUAACACUAGGGCUGAUUUGCUAUGACAAAUAUGUCUUUGUUUUAUGUCAAAUGUGCAAAAUAGUAAAUAUUAAGUAGUAGUUAGUAUCAAUUGAGGCAUAUGUACAUAGUGUGCAGACAUUAAACAUUGGCUGGACCAAGGAAGUCCUGUUAAACCACAAAUAUCUGCUGACUGUUUGAAUUAGCAAUGCGUAACAGCUGGUCUUUAAUAACGAGCAUGAAAACGUGUAUCAAAAGUGUAUAUGCACAGAAUGGUAACAGACAAAAAAAAAAUACAUUCCUAUAACUGUAUAUAUUCAUCAUGCACCAUGAGAAGGAGACAUUGAUUGCAAAUUGUACAGUUAUUUUAAGACCUGUGAAAAACAUUUGUGUUUUAUUUGUCCGAAUAAAUUAUUAUUUAAAAUCGAGACAGAAAAUAAUGGAUUUAAAUCAACUCCUCAGGUAAAACCAUUUGGAAUCGGUUUGUUUCGAUGACUACAAUGACUUUUAUUUGGACUAAUCGCUUAAAACAAACUUCUGCACGUCUACUUAUAUACCUUUUCUCUGUUGUCACUAUAAAUUCCUCAGCUUUCUCGGUUUCACAUUUAAGGAAAUUUUGGAACGUAGAGAAGGUCUGUAUGAGACCCAAAAAGUCCGACAACAACAUUGGC